UUUCAAUUUCUUCUACAUAGAUUUUGGUUUGUGAAUAUUUUGAUGUUUGUGAACAAAAUAUCGUCUCUGAUUCUAUAUCAAAGACAACCAUACGAAGCAAACUAUUUUAUUUCAAUUUCUUCUUCAUAGAUUUCCAUCUCAAUAUGGAAGACAACGAUACGAAGCAAACUGCAGAAACUCAUAACCACACUAAUCUUCGUCUCCGAUUCUAUGGGGUUUGAUUUCAAAAGAAAGAAGUUAAGAUUUACAUGUGGUGACCAUAUUUGCUAAUGGGGAGAGGGAAACUGGUGAGUGAAUUGCAAAGUCUAUGAAGAGAGUUGGAAAAGAAGCUGUAAUCACAAUUGUUGUAAGUUUUCAUGUGCUCAUCUUGCAAACAUCAUAACAGUUUGAGAACCGUUUGAAUAUGUUUUGAUCAAAGCAGUUUGUUUCUGUUUAUAUGGUAAAGGUUUAAGUGUUAUUCAUCUGUUCCUUCAAUGGUCUGGGUUGAUUGAGUGUUUAUAUGUUUUGAUCCAUAACUAGAUUUUAGUUUAAGUGUUUUUCAUAGAUGACUUUAUAUAUGCACAAAACAGUUUGAUUGACUGUUAUGUUUGCUUUCCAUUUUUCUCAUCUACUUCACCUCUUUGUGUUUCCAUUUUACUACUCCUAGAGAAUAACUUAUGGUUAGGUACUGAAGCCAUGUACUGGAGCCAUGUGGUGAAUUUCAAAUGUUGCAAUUUGGGCUAUAAGAGUCUCGAUAUGGUGAAAGUGAUGUUGCAGAUCAUAUAUGUUACUUCAAUUGGGAUUGUUGUCACAAUGAAGCAGAGUAUGGAUUAAGCUGUAGUAAGAAAUUCAAUGGUUGUGCUGGCAGUACUUUCAUUUGUUUUGUCGCGGUUGUUAGCUCACUUCAUAUACAAAAACUUCUGGUAUCAUGACUACAACCUCGCCUUUCGCUGAAAUUUGUUUCCUUAACAUUACUUAACUCCUAUCUCAUGUUUUUGUUAAUAGCUUAUGGUUACUAGCUUUUGUUUUUACAAUUUCAACAUAUAAUGC
Long non-coding RNA from Vicia villosa (hairy vetch), 1029 nucleotides. RefSeq lists it as uncharacterized. The transcript is spliced from 3 exons. The record is from RefSeq and is a predicted model, not a curated record. Lineage: Eukaryota; Viridiplantae; Streptophyta; Magnoliopsida; Fabales; Fabaceae.